UACGAAGGGGGCUAGCGUUGCUCGGAUUGACUGGGCGUAAAGGGCGCGUAGGCGGUUCGUACAGUCAGACGUGAAAUUCCUGGGCUCAACCUGGGGGCUGCGUUUGAUACGUGCGGACUUGAGUGCGGAAGAGGGUCGUGGAAUUCCCAGUGUAGAGGUGAAAUUCGUAGAUAUUGGGAAGAACACCGGUGGCGAAGGCGGCGACCUGGUCCUUAUACUGACGCUGAGGCGCGAAAGCGUGGGGAGCAAACAGG
This 254-nucleotide ribosomal RNA is filed under the name uncultured bacterium. Its description in RNAcentral is "partial 16S ribosomal RNA". It matches the Rfam family "Bacterial small subunit ribosomal RNA", at positions 524 to 776 of the family's 1533-position model. The record is from RNAcentral.